Molecule: long non-coding RNA, 865 nt
Organism: Phragmites australis (common reed)
Lineage: Eukaryota; Viridiplantae; Streptophyta; Magnoliopsida; Poales; Poaceae
Exons: 5
Source: RefSeq, a predicted model, not a curated record
UGUACCUGAUGAAAGGCAUCAUACUGUGUGAGCCCUUACAUUAUCAGUAUUUGAGCAUUGUGCCUUUUCAACCUUUUUUUUUUCUUGGAGUGGAAUUACAAAUUGUGUGCAAGCAGCACAAAUAAGCUCCAAUGCUCUGACAGCAGGAGCCAGGAGGUAUGAAAAGAAUAACAUUCCGGAUUUAUGAUAGAUGGUUUCUCCAUUGCCAUGGUGCAGCCAACCACUGAAGAGCAGAAAAGAUGUUCAGUACUAAACUUAAUACGAGGCUGCUGAUCAGCCUCUAUUUUGGUAAACUAAGGGUUGUUCAUCCCAUGUUAGAGCUAUAUUCUUGGGGAGUCAGAUGCUAAGAUGGUAUGCAGAGACUGGUUUUAUAAGGCAUGCAAGUGAGCAGAGAAUUUCGAAUCGUUGGAACAAUCAAGCCUGACCCAUUCUUUGCAGCAACUGAAAAGAGUCAGGCACGGGAUCUCGCCGGAGGGGAAUAAGCAAAAGUGAUGUUGACAAAGCUGGAGGGCGGAAUCCUGCACUUUUUUUCGAGUUAAGAUCAGAAGGAAUAUAUCGCCUAUGUCGACAUCGCUUGAUUCUUUUUCUCUGCGACUUGUGUUUCGCAGGCUCGUGCAAGCACCGAUAUGAUGAACACGUGUGAACAGGGGAAUGGUGAAAUUUGACUGACUGCUGCAAAAUGUUGAUAAGCGACCAAUUUUAGACCAGCAGUUUCUCCCUUGUUUGAUCAAAUUAUUAGUAUAUGUAAUCUGACCCCCCGUGGAGAUGUUCCUGAACAGUGUCGUAACUAGGAUUUCGAGGGGACCGGGGUGAACUUUUUUUUUUUAACGCACAGAAUAUGUAAUUGCCUGACAUCAACGUAAUU